ACGGGAGGCAGCAGUGAGGAAUAUUGGUCAAUGGGCGGAAGCCUGAACCAGCCAAGUCGCGUGUAGGAUGAAGGUUCUAUGGAUUGUAAACUUCUUUUGUUCGAGGGUAAAGUGAGGGUCGUGACCCUUAUUGCAAGUAUCGAACGAAUAAGGAUCGGCUAACUCCGUGCCAGCAGCCGCGGUAAUACGGAGGAUCCGAGCGUUAUCCGGAUUUAUUGGGUUUAAAGGGUGCGCAGGCGGCUUUUUAAGUCAGUGGUUAAAUCGUGACGCUCAACGUCAUCACGCCAUUGAUACUGGAGAGCUUGAUUGCGGUCGAGGUUUGCGGAAUUCGUCGUGUAGCGGUGAAAUGCAUAGAUAUGACGAAGAACACCGAUUGCGUAGGCAGCAGACCAGGCCGUAAAUGACGCUCAUGCACGAAAGUGCGGGGAUCGAACAGGAUUAGAUACCCUGGUA
This 453-nucleotide ribosomal RNA is filed under the name uncultured Paludibacter sp. Its description in RNAcentral is "partial 16S ribosomal RNA". It matches the Rfam family "Bacterial small subunit ribosomal RNA", at positions 341 to 792 of the family's 1533-position model. The record is from RNAcentral. Lineage: Bacteria; Pseudomonadati; Bacteroidota; Bacteroidia; Bacteroidales; Paludibacteraceae.